Molecule: ribosomal RNA, 337 nt
Filed under: uncultured bacterium
Lineage: Bacteria
Description: bacterial SSU rRNA
Rfam family: Bacterial small subunit ribosomal RNA
Source: RNAcentral
GACGAACGCUGGCGGCGUGCUUAACACAUGCAAGUCGAACGGAAAGGCCCUUCGGGGUGCUCGAGUGGCGAACGGGUGAGUAACACGUGGGUGAUCUGCCCUGCACUUUGGGAUAAGCCUGGGAAACUGGGUCUAAUACCGAAUACACCUCGCUGGCUGCAUGGUCUGGUGGGGGAAAGCUUUUGCGGUGUGGGAUGGGCCCGCGGCCUAUCAGCUUGUUGGUGGGGUGAUGGCCUACCAAGGCGACGACGGGUAGCCGGCCUGAGAGGGUGUCCGGCCACACUGGGACUGAGAUACGGCCCAGACUCCUACGGGAGGCAGCAGUGGGGAAUAUUGC